AUCAGGAACAAAAACAGAAGUUGCUGGAAAAGCUCAACAGCUCUGGCAGCAUCUGUGAAAAAAGAAAAAAAAAUCAUCUCCGGUGACCCUUCCUCAGAACAGCAACGUUCCGGCUGGUGUUUGCACGCAUGCGCAGCGUUAUUCUGACCGCCGUAAGCUGGUGAUUACCGGUUUUGUCAGAGCUGGUAAAGGAACAAAGAAUAAGCUAUUGGGGAAACAGUGAAGGUGUUGUGUCACCGUGCCUGGAGACAGCCUUUGAACCGAUGUUAUUCUACUCUGCUGGGAAUUUAUGCUGUCCGGUCCGUUAUGGGGGAGAGAGUACAAGAGGAAAGGAAACCAAAGCACGCAGCGCCUUCGGCUGAGAGAGAAAUGAAGAACUGCCGGAGAUUUUCCAAACCCUGACACAGGGGUUGCCUCUCUCUCUCUCGACAGUCUCUGCGACUGUCCCAUCAAACCCCACACCCAUUCCCGUCCCAUGGUGUCUCUCCACAAACCCACCUCCGGGUGGAAAUGCAAACACAAGUUGCUGGAAAUGCUCAGCAUCUGUGAAGAAAAAGUCCCGAGGUAGCGUUUUGGGUGCGAUGACCCUUUCCCUUCGAGCUCUGGCUAGAAAUGCUCCAGCCUCUGAGACAGGGUCCCCUUGAGGUCGGAGAGCUGCGGGUCGAUCUCGGCUGUUCGCUUGGCGUCAGGAGCUCCCCUCAGCCCCAGGAAGGGGUAUGAUCACCCCCUAACCUUAUACUGACAGUGGUUGUGUCCUUCCCUCAUCCCCGGGAGCCCCUCCUGCCUUCUCACCUUGUCGCCGGGGUGCUAUUCGACUACGGAGGGCUGUGCGAUAAAGAUCCUACUUCCCACAGCAGCAGGGGGAGGGGGCAUCCCUUCGCUCCUAAAACACCCCCUCCCAUCCAAUCUUGUGGCAAUGGCUGUUCGGCUGCAGAAAGCGGCGCUGCCCGUGACCCCAAACCUCCCGACAACACCCCUCUCCUAAUCCGACCCUUUUGCAGUAGCUGUAGGCCACUCAGUCACUGGGCUGCACAAUAGUGACUCUCCCCAUGUCCACUCACUUCCAGGGCGGCUAUCCUCCAACCCCGACCCCAUCCCAUCCGCCUCCUUCCCUUUACCAUGUGGUACGAGAGCUGCAGGCUGGUCGGCUACGGAAACCCGCGCAGGGCUGGAUAAUAGACACCCUCCCAAUGUCCCCAGCCUUCCCCUCACCCGGGGAGGGGAAUUCUCACCCCCAAAACAUCCAUUCCCAACACCUCGCUUUGGGAUAGGAGCGGCGCAGGAUGUGAAACAGGGACCGUGCUCAUGUCCCCAAUCCUCCCUUCACCCCAAACCACCACCCCCAGCUUACCUUGCAGUAGGAGACAGUUGUACGCUGCUCAGCUACGGAAGGCGUCGCGGACCCGCGGCCGGGUGCGCGGGUUCGGUGCCAGGCAGCUGUGCCCAGGCGCCGGGCGAAGAGGCCUUCUCCCACCUUGGAUCCCCGCUCCCGGCACAGGCGGCGCAGGGCCGAGCCACUGAGCAGCGAGCACUCCAGCAGCCCAGAUGCCUGCUCCCAGCCCCGUGGUCAUGUUGGAGGCCGCUGGAGAACAGGAGGUUGUAGGGGUCCGGGAGCAUGGUGCGAUGAUCCCUAGUGCCGAACAGCUGGGUCCUCAGAACCCUCCCGGGAAAAGGGUUCCAGACAGCGGACUCGUCGUCGAGGGAGAGGGGAAGAAAGGCGUGAGUAGGAACAGGAGAGGAAGGGGAUUGACUGAGAGGGAGAAAGAGACAGAUUCUGUGUGUGUGUGAGAAAGAGGGGAUUAGAAAUGCAGUCUGAUUGCGGAUGGGUUGGGUUUAAACAGAGAUUUUUAAACUUUGUUCAAAAAAACUCAACGCUCCCUGCUGAGCAGGUGGAGAGGCUCGGACAGAGAGGAAGAGAGGCACAGGGAAGUGGGGACAGACAUGUUCACAGGGAGAGACGGGAGAGAGAACGGCAGAAGCACACACAGAGGGAGCCAGAUACCAGACGAGAGAUGGAGAGGGGCGCACACAUAGACCAAAGAGACAGAGUGAGAGAGGAGAGAGACAGAAGUGCACAGCGAGGUGGCAGAGACAAGACGACAGAGAGAGACAGAGACACAGAGUGAGGCACAUACAGAGAGAUGGAGAGACAGAGAUUGUGUGUGUGGCGGGGGGUGGGUUUGGAGGAAAUGGGAGAGAGAGAGACAGAGUCGCGAGUUGUACAGCAGGGAAACAGACCCUUCAGUCCAACUCCACAAGGCCGACCAGACACCGUAACUGACUCGUUCUGUUUGCCAGCCUGGAGCCCACAUCCCUCCAGCCCCUUCCUAUUCAUGUGUCCCUGCAGGUGACUUCUAAAUACUGUGAGUAUAACAGCCUCUGCCGCUCCUCUGGCAGUUCAUGCCACACACAAGCUACACUCGGGAGAACACGUUGGCGCCAAAUCCCCCUCCCAUCCGCUGAGAAAAGGAACCGGAAAUGACAUCACCAACCCGAGGAAACCGGAACACUUAAAGAGAAGGCGGGACCUAACUCCAGCGCUUCCCCGGAUGCUCCCUGAUGAUUUGACCGGGAACGGAGUUGAAACGUCUGCAAACUAACCUUCCAGCUCAGUGAGCAAUCUUACACCCAGAACCUCAACCCUGAGCUACAAAUCUUCUCAAAACUCGAUAAUGCUUUGCCACUUGAU
This is a long non-coding RNA of Stegostoma tigrinum, 2689 nucleotides long. RefSeq lists it as uncharacterized. NCBI's taxonomy places the organism in Eukaryota, Metazoa, Chordata, Chondrichthyes, Orectolobiformes, Stegostomatidae. The transcript has 3 exons. The record is from RefSeq and is a predicted model, not a curated record.